Molecule: long non-coding RNA, 1282 nt
Organism: Pseudophryne corroboree (corroboree frog)
Lineage: Eukaryota; Metazoa; Chordata; Amphibia; Anura; Myobatrachidae
Exons: 2
Source: RefSeq, a predicted model, not a curated record
CGGAGCUUGUUGCCCGACCAUGCAGUAAGGCAGUGUAACCGCGGCAUCAUCAGCAGCGGAUCACCGGCGGCAUCAGCAGCUGAUCACUCCCCCUGCCCGCCCUCCACCUCCCCGCACAUCGGGACUGGAGCAGCUGUUAGUUGGUAGUGAUGGGGGAUCUGGUGUGUCGCGGACGCUCUAGUGGAAAGAGUGAGGCACCUGGGAGUCCGGAGGAGAGGCAGGAGAAGAGACGCAGCAAAUAGAAGUUCCGUAAGAGCAGAAAGUCAUUAAUCCGUUUUAUUCUGUGGUUCCCAAAGCAAAACAUGAGCGGAAGGAAUCCUGUAGCUUUAAUGUGGAAGUCCCUAUAUUUUCUGUUUACUUUUCGUCUUCUUUACAUUUCUGUUGCUUUCUGAGAUGUGAUGGGGGACGUCGAAAAUGUGUUGUAACACUGCUUGUAUUGUACCAUGUUAAGUCGGUAUGUAUGCAUUUUAUGUACAGUGUACAAUUUGGAAAUGUUGCUAGUGGAGAAGGCCCACACUGCUACUAUUGUGUAAAUAUGUUGUUUGUGUGUUUAAUACAUUCCCUUUUGACUGUUGCAUUCUGCUUUAGCAGACAUGCUGAAGCCACACACCGCAGGAAGUCCUAUGUGUGAAAAUGGGCUAACACAGUCUAAGGAUGAAGCUUUUCAGACCAUGGUAAAUCAGGCUUUAACGCAGUUCCCAUAGACAGCUAUGUUUUUGCUGAGUGGGGAACACAGCAAAUAUCUCCAAUAGCCGCUGUGGUGCCCCUCUUGUUAAAUACCCCAUGGGCUCUUAAAUGCAUAAAUCCUCAUAAAACAGCUAUUUUUGACCUUGAACUUAGUAAAUAGGCCCAUAAGUUAUACAAGUAUCAUUUUUGGGAUGAGUACAGGAUGGCCACAUGAGCUAAACCCACAUACUAAGACUACUGCACCUCACCACUGUCCCCCUCCCCAAAACUUUGUGCAGGCUUGUAUAUAAUAUUAUCUGCAGCAUCCUUAAAGCACCACAAGCCCCAUACGAGUUAUUGUCCGUUAUUAUGUCACCAACCAAUCAUAUUGUCACCAGCUACCGAGUAUACGGCAUUGCCACUUUCUUAUUCAUUCUAGAAGACUGCUAUAAAUUCUUCCUGCUUUCUUUCCAGCCAGAAAACAUGUAUAUAUAUGUAUAUAUGUAUAUAUAUAUAUAUAAAGUCUUUCUAUACCACGUUAUAAUUGCAUUUCUUAUGCUCCACUAGCCUCCUGUGCUGUAAUAAGUUUCAUAAUAAAGCACGGACGGGGGUCAAA